Molecule: long non-coding RNA, 349 nt
Filed under: Gallus gallus (chicken)
Lineage: Eukaryota; Metazoa; Chordata; Aves; Galliformes; Phasianidae
Source: RNAcentral
GGGCUGUUUCCCCAUGUGAAUCCCUCAAGGCGUGGAUGCGUAGGAGCGGCGCACCUGCUGGCUGGUCAAUGUAGACGUUCUCUGAGUACUCCUUUCUGGGGAAGUACAGACCAAAGGAAGCCCCGCACAGCAGCAGGAGGCCGGCCGCCCCCCGCACCGAGCGCAUCUUCCUGGGCCACAGGCGCUCCGGGCAGCAGCGGGCUCUCAAGCUGGCCGGCCCAUGCCCGAGGCGGGACGCGCCGAGCCGGGAUGCGGACCGCGCCGGGAUGUCGCGCCGGGAUGCCGCGAGCCGGCUCCUUCCCUCGCUCCUCCCGGACCCGACCCCGCAGACGGGAGGAAGCUUCCCGUC